CAGUCGCCACGGUAAUACAGAGGGUGCAAGCGUUAAUCGGAUUUACUGGGCGUAAAGGGCGCGUAGGUGGUUAUGUAAGUGAGAUGUGAAAUCCCCGGGCUCGACCUGGGAACUGCAUCUUAUACUGCGUAGCUGGAGUGCAGUAGAGGGUAGUGGAAUUUCCGGUGUAGCGGUGAAAUGCGUAGAUAUCGGAAGGAACACCAGUGGCGAAGGCGGCUACCUGGACUGACACUGACACUGAUGCACGAAAGCUAGGGGAGCAAACAGGAUUAGAUACCCCAGUAGUCCCUGUCUCUUAUAA
RNAcentral lists this ribosomal RNA (301 nucleotides) under uncultured bacterium. RNAcentral describes it as "partial 16S ribosomal RNA". It matches the Rfam family "Bacterial small subunit ribosomal RNA", at positions 509 to 809 of the family's 1533-position model. The record is from RNAcentral.